UACAGAGGUCUCAAGCGUUGUUCGGAUUCAUUGGGCGUAAAGGGCGCGUAGGCGGCGGGGUCAGUCGGGUGUGAAAUCUUGGGGCUUAACCCCGAAACGGCACUCGAAACUGCCCGGCUGGAGGGCCGGAGAGGAGAUCGGAAUUCACGGUGUAGCAGUGAAAUGCGUAGAGAUCGUGAGGAAGACCCGUGGCGAAGGCGGGUCUCUGGACGGCUAAAACUGACGCUGAGGCGCGAAGGCCAGGGGAGCAAACGGG
RNAcentral lists this ribosomal RNA (256 nucleotides) under uncultured bacterium. RNAcentral describes it as "partial 16S ribosomal RNA". It matches the Rfam family "Bacterial small subunit ribosomal RNA", at positions 524 to 776 of the family's 1533-position model. The record is from RNAcentral.